UGAGCUCAGGCAAGAUUACCCGCUGAACUUAAGCAUAUCAAUAAGCGGAGGAAAAGAAACUAACAAGGAUUCCCCUAGUAACGGCGAGCGAACCGGGAACAGCCCAACUUGAAAAUCUCCCUUUGGAGAAUUGUAGUCUAUAGAAGUACCCUCUGCAGCGGGCGGAAUCCAAGUCUCCUGGAAAGGGGCGUCAGAGAGGGUGAGAACCCCGUCGAUUCCUGCCUUAGCUGCUCCACGAGGUGCUUUCAGAGAGUCGGGUUGCUUGGGAAUGCAGCCCUAAUUUGGUGGUAAAUCCCAUCUAAGGCUAAAUAUUGGCGAGAGACCGAUAGCGAACAAGUACCGUGAGGGAA
RNAcentral lists this ribosomal RNA (350 nucleotides) under Chromochloris zofingiensis. Its description in RNAcentral is "eukaryotic LSU rRNA". It matches the Rfam family "Eukaryotic large subunit ribosomal RNA", at positions 1 to 361 of the family's 3401-position model. The record is from RNAcentral. Lineage: Eukaryota; Viridiplantae; Chlorophyta; Chlorophyceae; Sphaeropleales; Chromochloridaceae.